RNAcentral lists this ribosomal RNA (583 nucleotides) under Cutaneotrichosporon sp. RNAcentral's name for it is "partial large subunit ribosomal RNA". It matches the Rfam family "Eukaryotic large subunit ribosomal RNA", at positions 53 to 626 of the family's 3401-position model. Lineage: Eukaryota; Fungi; Basidiomycota; Tremellomycetes; Trichosporonales; Trichosporonaceae. The record is from RNAcentral.
GAGGAAAAGAAACUAACAAGGAUUCCCUUAGUAACGGCGAGUGAACCGGGAAGAGCUCAAAUUUGUAAUCUGGCUGUCUUCGAUAGUCCGAGUUGUAAUCUAUAGACGUGUUUUCCGUGCUGGACCGUAUCUAAGUCCCUUGGAACAGGGUAUCAAAGAGGGUGAUAAUCCCGUGCUUGAUACGACCACCAGUGCUCUGUGAUACACGCUCUACGAGUCGAGUUGUUUGGGAAUGCAGCUCAAAAUGGGUGGUAAAUUCCAUCUAAAGCUAAAUAUUGGCGAGAGACCGAUAGCGAACAAGUACCGUGAGGGAAAGAUGAAAAGCACUUUGGAAAGAGAGUUAAACAGUACGUGAAAUUGUUGAAAGGGAAACGAUUGAAGUCAGUCGUGUUCUUCAGAUUCAGCUGGUUCUUCCAGUCUACUUCUGUUGAACGGGUCAACAUCAGUUUUGUCCGGUGGAUAAAGGUAGUAGGAAUGUGACUCCUCCGGGAGUGUUAUAGCCUAUUAUUGCAUACACUGGGUGAGACUGAGGACUGCAGCUCGCCUUUUGGCCGGUCUUCGGACACGUUCGAGCUUAGGAUGU